AACCAAAGUGUUGAGUUCAGUUCAGGGUAACAGGUACCCCUGUUCUGGUAAUUAAGCUUUGGGACAGUGAGUGACUGGGAAGUGCACCAUGGUGACUGAAAGUUUGUUUUAUGCCACCUGUGUUUCUCAGCCUACAAAC
This 139-nucleotide small nucleolar RNA is filed under the name Leptosomus discolor (cuckoo roller). The record is from RNAcentral. Lineage: Eukaryota; Metazoa; Chordata; Aves; Leptosomiformes; Leptosomidae.